Bos taurus (domestic cattle) is the source of this 1980-nucleotide long non-coding RNA. The record is from Ensembl. Lineage: Eukaryota; Metazoa; Chordata; Mammalia; Artiodactyla; Bovidae.
UGGUUAAUUAUUUCAAAAGAUGAAUUCCAUGAAAUAAAAUAAAAAUAGACUCCCUGUCCAGAGGGAAAGUGAGAAAAAAAGGGGGAGACAUGAGGAAUGGUCCCCUCUAAAAAGGAUGUGGAUGUUUCAAGUAGUGAGUGAGGACAUGGGAUGGAGGCAGACGCUGGGCACCUGUCACAUGGCCAGGAGAGAAAAAGACAGCAGGUAGGGAGGGUGCCAGCAGGGAGGCCAGUGAGGGAGCUGUGAUUGCUCGGGACACGGUGGCACCUUGGACAAGGGAGGAGGUUGGUAAUCGAGUGACGUGAUUGAGUCUGAAAGUGUCUAGUAAGCAUUGCAUUGACAAGCGUUAGUUCAACUUGAGGCAUGGAGAUGAGGGAAGAGGCAAGGUGGGAUUUUUAUUUAAGGGACAGCUGGACUGGGGUGCCUUUUGCUGAAGUUCUUGAUGAAGUUCAAUAAAGAACCACUUUCUUCCCCAUCUGAGUUCUGAUCAAUUUAAGAAAUAAGGCCAAGGCUGACGAAGGCCAGAUGCCUCCUUGCUUCCUGAUGAAAGCCAGGUGAGGGAGUAUAUUUAUGGGUGAGAGUCAAACAGAUCUGUAAGCCAAACCCCAGAAGAAGGUCCAUGCGCCCCUGGGAAGUGCUGACAUGGGCAGCUGGCCCAGGAAGCAGGGCAGAGAAGAGCAUCAGAGAAGUCCUACUCUCUGUUGGCAGCUUGCUCACAGAGGAUUAAAGGGCAGACUGAGCCCAGUUGAUUCUUCCCCAAACUAUCAGUCAGAAAAGUCACUCUGCCUCCUCUCGGGUAGGAGAGGGAAGGAAGGGAGGGAGCCAGGAGGUAGACUCACUAAAGCAUGAGGAAGGCAGCAUUUGGCAUCACCCCAAAACACCUUGCACAGAAAUAUGGCAGCCAGGGCAACAAGCAGGCUUUGGGGAGGGCGACAGACUCAGUGUUGGCUGCGGGAGACCCAGUCCAGAGGAGCCUCUGGGAGGUCUGCUGAAUGAAUCAAUCACUGAUGGAGAGGAGGAAGCUAGUCCUUCCCUUCUCAGCAGUGGGAAUUACCCUCCGGAAUUAGAUGAGUCUCUCACUGAACACAGAGCUGCUUGCCCCACCACAGAUAGGGGCGUGGGUUCACACCUCCAUUUCUUCUCCAACUCAGGCAUGGCCUCAGCCAGGGGAGUUAGAUCAGCAUUGUUGUGUGGCGGGUGGCAAGUCCUGUGUCCUGGUGUGGUGAAAUGGUAGAAACUGUUUUCAUGAAGGUGGCAGGAGCUGUGAGCCAGCUGGCCUGGGAGGGUGCAGGUGUCCUUCUUAGGGAACUCUGCUCCUUUGUUAAGGCAGCAUCCUAUGGGCCAGUUUGGUCAAGGAAGGCCUCUGGGCAGGGCCCUGGGGGAAGGAGGUCAGACAGUGAAGUGCCUCAGAAGGAAUUCAGAAUGGCUCAGGGGUGCUGAUAAGGAGGGGCUAGAAGAGAAGAGUCUAGAGAGGGGUCCCCCUGUGAUGGAGAAGAUGGCAUAGAACGGCGGGAGGGCCAGCAGGGACCACAACCAACUUUCAUGAGAAACUGCUUCCUGUGCACUCAAUGGCCUUGUGUGGGCCAUUCUUCGGGGAAUGAAGGAAGAAGGUUGGCAGUGCCAGGGCACGUUGCUGUGCCCAGCAGCCUGGGGAGCCGUGGCCUAUGAGGGAGCUGGGCACGAAGACAUGGAGCCAUUGGAGAAACAGGCUGCAGUAUGGGCUUGAGACAAGCCACAUCGCCAAACAGAGUGAAAGAAAGUGACAAGGUGGCUGUGACCGGGCAGAGGCAGGAGGGGAACUCGGUCCUGCUCUUCAUGGAGUGGGGGUGGUCGUUUUGUUUAGAUAUUAAAGUUAAAGCUGACCCCAGGGCCCUAAAGGCCUCAGAGGCCAACAGAUGGCACUAAUCAUGAGUCACGUGCCUGACUGUUUAGGGUCAUGGCUAUGAUGACAUCAUUUCCCCUCGCUGGCCUCCUUGACUU